ACGGGAGGCAGCAGUGGGGAAUAUUGCACAAUGGGGGAAACCCUGAUGCAGCGACGCCGCGUGAAGGAUUGACGUAUUUCGGUAUGUAAACUUCUAUCAGCAGGGAAGAUAAUGACGGUACCUGACUAAGAAGCCCCGGCUAACUACGUGCCAGCAGCCGCGGUAAUACGUAGGGGGCAAGCGUUAUCCGGAUUUACUGGGUGUAAAGGGAGCGUAGGCGGCUGAGUAAGUCAGAAGUGAAAGCCCGGGGCUCAACCCCGGGACGGCUUUUGAAACUGCCCGGCUUGAUUUCAGGAGAGGAAAGCGGAAUUCCUAGUGUAGCGGUGAAAUGCGUAGAUAUUAGGAGGAACACCAGUGGCGAAGGCGGCUUACUGGACUGUAACUGACGUUGAGGCUCGAAAGCGUGGGGAGCAAACAGGAUUAGAUACCCUGGUA
This 435-nucleotide ribosomal RNA is filed under the name uncultured Coprococcus sp. RNAcentral describes it as "partial 16S ribosomal RNA". It matches the Rfam family "Bacterial small subunit ribosomal RNA", at positions 341 to 792 of the family's 1533-position model. Lineage: Bacteria; Bacillati; Bacillota; Clostridia; Lachnospirales; Lachnospiraceae. The record is from RNAcentral.